AGUGAACGCUGGCGGUAGGCCUAACACAUGCAAGUCGAACGGCAGCACAGGAGAGCUUGCCCUCUGGGUGGCGAGUGGCGGACGGGUGAGGAAUACAUCGGAAUCUACCUUUUCGUGGGGGAUAACGUAGGGAAACUUACGCUAAUACCGCAUACGACCUUCGGGUGAAAGCAGGGGACCUUCGGGCCUUGCGCGGAUAGAUGAGCCGAUGUCGGAUUAGCUAGUUGGCGGGGUAAAGGCCCACCAAGGCGACGAUCCGUAGCUGGUCUGAGGGGAUGAUCAGCCACACUGGAACUGAGACACGGUCCAGACUCCUACGGGAGGCAGCAGUGGGGAAUAUUGGAAAAUGGGCGCAAGCCUGAUCCAGCCAUACCGCGUGGGUGAAGAAGGCCUUCGGGUUGUAAAGCCCUUUUGUUGGGAAAGAAAAGCAACCAGUUAAUACCUGGUUGUUCUGACGGUACCCAAAGAAUAAGCACCGGCUAACUUCGUGCCAGCCGCCGCGGUAA
This 506-nucleotide ribosomal RNA is filed under the name uncultured bacterium. Its description in RNAcentral is "partial 16S ribosomal RNA". It matches the Rfam family "Bacterial small subunit ribosomal RNA", at positions 29 to 523 of the family's 1533-position model. The record is from RNAcentral.